RNAcentral lists this ribosomal RNA (484 nucleotides) under uncultured bacterium. RNAcentral's name for it is "partial 16S ribosomal RNA". It matches the Rfam family "Bacterial small subunit ribosomal RNA", at positions 30 to 507 of the family's 1533-position model. The record is from RNAcentral.
AUUGAACGCUGGCGGCAGGCCUAACACAUGCAAGUCGAGCGGAUGAAGGGAGCUUGCUCCUGGAUUCAGCGGCGGACGGGUGAGUAAUGCCUAGGAAUCUGCCUGGUAGUGGGGGAUAACGUCCGGAAACGGGCGCUAAUACCGCAUACGUCCUGAGGGAGAAAGUGGGGGAUCUUCGGACCUCACGCUAUCAGAUGCGCCUAGGUCGGAUUAGCUAGUUGGUGGGGUAAAGGCCUACCAAGGCGACGAUCCGUAACUGGUCUGAGAGGAUGAUCAGUCACACUGGAACUGAGACACGGUCCAGACUCCUACGGGAGGCAGCAGUGGGGAAUAUUGGACAAUGGGCGAAAGCCUGAUCCAGCCAUGCCGCGUGUGUGAAGAAGGUCUUCGGAUUGUAAAGCACUUUAAGUUGGGAGGAAGGGCAGUAAGUUAAUACCUUGCUGUUUUGACGUUACCAACAGAAUAAGCACCGGCUAACUUCGUG